AGCAGCCGCGGUAAUUCCAGCUCCAAUAGCGUAUAUUAAAGUUGUUGCAGUUAAAAAGCUCGUAGUUGAAUUUCGGGGUUAGUAGGUUGGUCAUGCCUCUGGUAUGUACCGGUCUCACUGAUUCCUCCUUCCUGAUGAGCCGUAAUGCCAUUAAUUUGGUGUUGCGGGGAAUUUGGACUGUUACUUUGAAAAAAUUAGAGUGUUUAAAGCAGGCGCACGCUUGAAUACAUUAGCAUGGAAUAAUGAAAUAGGACGUUUGAUUCUAUUUUGUUGGUUUCUAGGAUCGACGUAAUGAUUAAUAGGGAUAGUUGGGGGCAUUAGUAUUCAAUUGUCAGAGGUGAAAUUCUUGGAUUUAUUGAAGACUAACUACUGCGAAAGCAUUUGCCAAGGAUGUUUUCAUUAAUCAAGAACGAAAGUUAGGGGAUCGAAGACGAUCAGAUACCGUCGUAGUCUUAACCAUAAACUAUGCCGACUAGGGAUCGGAUGAUGUUAAUUUUUAAUGACUCAUUCGGCGCCUUAA
This 520-nucleotide ribosomal RNA is filed under the name uncultured Glomus. Its description in RNAcentral is "SSU rRNA". It matches the Rfam family "Eukaryotic small subunit ribosomal RNA", at positions 569 to 1091 of the family's 1831-position model. Lineage: Eukaryota; Fungi; Glomeromycota; Glomeromycetes; Glomerales; Glomeraceae. The record is from RNAcentral.